RNAcentral lists this long non-coding RNA (1362 nucleotides) under Homo sapiens (human). RNAcentral's name for it is "non-protein coding lnc-P4HA2-4:1". Lineage: Eukaryota; Metazoa; Chordata; Mammalia; Primates; Hominidae. The record is from RNAcentral.
GACGGAGUCUCGCUCUGUCGCCCAGGCUGGAGUGCAGUGGCGGGAUCUCGGCUCACUGCAAGCUCCGCCUCCCGGGUUCACGCCAUUCUCCUGCCUCAGCCUCCCAAGUAGCUGGGACUACAGGCGCCCGCCACUACGCCCGGCUAAUUUUUUGUAUUUUUAGUAGAGACGGGGUUUCACCGUUUUAGCCGGGAUGGUCUCGAUCUCCUGACCUCGUGAUCCGCCCGCCUCGGCCUCCCAAAGUGCUGGGAUUACAGGCGUGAGCCACCGCGCCCGGCCCAUAUGUUGAAAUCUUAACCCCCAAUGUGAUGAUAUUAGGAUGCGGAGCCCUUGGGAGGUCGUAAGCAUGGAGCCCACGUGAGUGGGAUUAGUGCCCUUAUGAAGAGAUCCCAGCCCUCUUUCUGCCAUGCGAACACACAGCAAGAAGAUGCCUGUCUAUGAACCAGGGGGCCCUUACCAGAAACAAACCUACUAGCAUCUUGAUCUCGGACUUUCCAGUUCCCAUAACCAUGAGAAAUAAAUGUUUUUAAUUCAAUGUAUGGUAUUUUAUUAUAGCAGCUCUACCUAAGACAGUACAUGUAUAGUGUCUAUUUGAACAUUACUGAUAAUGUUGAACAACUUUUCAUGUUUAUUAGUUAUUAGGUUUCUUCAAGUGUUCUUAUUCAUACAAAUUUUAAAAUAUGUACACAAGUUCUUUGUUAUAUAUUUUGCAAAUAUCUUCUGUGGCUUGUCUUUUCACUAUUUUAGUUCUGUCUUUUGAUAAACAGGAGCUUUUAAUUUUUAUGUCAAAUCUAUCAAGCUUUUUCUUUUUGAUUUAUGUUUUUUAUGUCUUAUUUGAGAAAUCCUUCUAUACCCCAAGAUCAUGAGGAUGUUUCCUGUGUUCUCUUCUGAAAGCUAUAUAGUCUUUGUCAUUUAGGUUUAUCUUUAUACGUGGUAUGAAGUGUAAAGUUCUACUUUUAAUUUUUUGCAUAUUUUAUUAGGAUAGGAUGGGCUUUUUCUGUAGUAAUAAUCCUUAAAUCUCAGGGGCUUAAUAUAUAAAAUUGUCUCAUGCAAAAAACCACUGGGUCUAGGGCAAUUGCUAUCUACUGCCGUCUAAUCUCCCUCUAGUGGCUUCCAUUGGUAGACCCUAACAGGAAGCCAGCUGAUAAGGGAAUCUGGGAAAUGUAGUUUACAGAGUGGCAGCUACAGUAGAACAGUAGAGACUACAAGGAUGAGCUUGCAGCUGAGAAUAGAAACGUGACUGGCACACUAGGUGGUUUGUUUGUAGGUUUUUUCUUUUCCUGUUUGAGACUUUUUUGGAUUCUUGAAUUUGUACAAUGGUAUCCUUAAUCAAUUGUGGAAAAUUAAAUGAUUUUUUCUUUC